AGACUUACCUGGCAGGGGACAGACCAUGAUCACGAAGGUGGUUUUCCCAGGGUGAGACUCAUCCACUGCACUCCGGAUGUGCUGACCUCUGUGCGUUCCCCAAAUGUAGAAAUUCAAGUGCACAAUUUGUGGUAGUGGGGCACUGCGUCCAUGCUCUCCCCUG
Echinops telfairi (small Madagascar hedgehog) is the source of this 163-nucleotide small nuclear RNA. Its record names the gene U1. It matches the Rfam family "U1 spliceosomal RNA". Rfam says of the family: U1 is a small nuclear RNA (snRNA) component of the spliceosome (involved in pre-mRNA splicing). Its 5' end forms complementary base pairs with the 5' splice junction, thus defining the 5' donor site of an intron. Lineage: Eukaryota; Metazoa; Chordata; Mammalia; Afrosoricida; Tenrecidae. The record is from Ensembl.